UUGGCGGACGGGUGAGAAACACGUGGGUAACCUGCCUCAAAGUGGGGGAUAGCCUUCCGAAAGGAAGAUUAAUACCGCAUAAGCCUACAGUGCCGCAUGGUACAGCAGGAAAAGGAGUAAUCCGCUUUGAGAUGGACCCGCGGCGCAUUAGCUAGUUGGUGAGGUAACGGCUCACCAAGGCGACGAUGCGUAGCCGACCUGAGAGGGUGAUCGGCCACAUUGGAACUGAGACACGGUCCAGACUCCUACGGGAGGCAGCAGUGGGGAAUAUUGCACAAUGGGCGAAAGCCUGAUGCAGCAACGCCGCGUGAGUGAUGAAGGCCUUCGGGUCGUAAAGCUCUUUGAUCAGGGAUGAUAAUGACAGUACCUGAAAAACAAGCCACGGCUAACUACGUGCCAGCAGCCGCGGUAAU
RNAcentral lists this ribosomal RNA (413 nucleotides) under uncultured Clostridium sp. RNAcentral's name for it is "bacterial SSU rRNA". It matches the Rfam family "Bacterial small subunit ribosomal RNA", at positions 95 to 524 of the family's 1533-position model. The record is from RNAcentral. Lineage: Bacteria; Bacillati; Bacillota; Clostridia; Eubacteriales; Clostridiaceae.